RNAcentral lists this unclassified non-coding RNA (204 nucleotides) under Hevea brasiliensis (rubber tree). The record is from RNAcentral. Lineage: Eukaryota; Viridiplantae; Streptophyta; Magnoliopsida; Malpighiales; Euphorbiaceae.
GAAUUAAAUUUUUUUUGUAUGAUAAUUUAGAGUUAACGUUUUUGGCGUAUGGAAUAGGAUUAACGUUUUAAACGAUAUUAGAUAAAAAUUUUUACGUAAGAGUAAAAAAAUGUGUUAUUUAAAGAAUAUUAGUAUAGAUAAUUAAAUUUUUUGUUUAAAAUUUAUGUUUUAUAAGUUUAUAAGUGGUAGAAUAAAUUAGUAAUU